RNAcentral lists this long non-coding RNA (488 nucleotides) under Bos taurus (domestic cattle). Its description in RNAcentral is "long non-coding RNA NONBTAT006357". The record is from RNAcentral. Lineage: Eukaryota; Metazoa; Chordata; Mammalia; Artiodactyla; Bovidae.
CCAAGCAAGCAGAGAGCUUGUCUAUCUUUAUCAUUGAUCUUAGAACUGCAUAGUAGUAUAGAAUCCAAUUUAAACAAUUUUCUUAACAAUGAACUGAAUAGAAACUUUAACAUUAAUUUAUACUUUAAAAAGAAAAUUUAGGUUUUUUAUUUCACUCAAAAAAAAUGUAUAUUCACCAGGCAAUCUGUGACAACAAAGUUAGAUUGUCUCUAAUCUAAAAGUUACUAGAUGAUGGAUUUAUAACAACUCAUAAAUAUUUAGCUUAAUAAUAUUAAGAACUUGAAUUUGGGUCAUAUAAUCAUCAUGUAUUAUUACUCAAAUCAUAAAUUAGAAAAGACACAAUGAAUUUAUCAAGGAAUAAUUUCAUUUAAAUAGCCAUAUGAGAAUUUUCAGUUAUAAGUAAUAUUAAUAAAGAUGAAAGAAAAUAUCUACACAUGAAGACAACCAAGAAUUCAAAGUUCCAUAACUAAAAUGAAAGUUUUUAAAAU